RNAcentral lists this long non-coding RNA (797 nucleotides) under Elaeis guineensis (African oil palm). Its description in RNAcentral is "long non-coding RNA (EGUI_LNC075807)". Lineage: Eukaryota; Viridiplantae; Streptophyta; Magnoliopsida; Arecales; Arecaceae. The record is from RNAcentral.
GAGGGUGUGGCUUAAUUUGUGCAUGAGUGAUUUCAUGAGAAACAUUUUUUCGUGUAAUAAAUGGGGCAUUAAAAGAGGAUAAGGUCAAGGUGCUAAGAUUGGUUGCUCAUUCAAAUUCAAACUUUGUUUUAAAUUUGAAUGGCCAACCAAUCAUCCUUAUCUACUCAUUUGACACAUUAAAGUAGGGUGAGAGGAGUGCUUUGCAUGAGAAAAAAUUCAUGAGAACUUCCUUUUCGUGAAUUCAAAUGGGCGCAGUGGAAGUGAGGUGGCGUAGGGAGAAUGGGUCAAGGUGGUUUCAUUAUUUAAACCAACCUAAUUGAACCAAAUAAGUUAGGCCCAAUUAGACUAAUUUAAACUCAACUAAAUUAGGCUUAAUUAGGCUCAAUAAAAUCCUAAUCAAAUCAGGAAUUGAUUAAGUCCAACCCCUGAUCAAAUCAGGGACCAAACCAUCUCAACGAUUAGGUCAACUCUUAACCUAAUCGGGUCAAAUCCAACUGAAUCCAAUUCAAUUGGACUUGAUCCAAAAAUAAUUACUCAAUCAAAUUGAGUUAAUUAGUGAUCAAAUCACUAAUUAAACCUCUUAUAAAUAUUGAGUCCAAAUUCGAUGGGUAAUCGAGCAUUAGAAUUCAUCGAUAUGUAACCCUGAUCGAAGAGUCCCAAACCAGUGGGACUCUUGACCCCGGUACCCAAAAUGUGUGGGACUCAUGAUCAGAGAAUCCUGAUUCUUGAUCACAGAGUCCCAGACACGUAGGAUUCAUAGUCCACGAGCAUUAGGACUCUUCAUCAACCAUCAGAUC